This is a long non-coding RNA of Vulpes vulpes (red fox), 2570 nucleotides long. Lineage: Eukaryota; Metazoa; Chordata; Mammalia; Carnivora; Canidae. The record is from Ensembl.
AUUACUGUGGAUCUGUCAGGGCAUUGUGUAAACAAUUUAGUNUAAAAAAAAAAAAAAAAAAAGAAACUGUAUAUGAGAAUUCUUAGAACAGUUGAAUUGGCAAAGAUCCAAAGGUUUGUAAAGAUCUCACUGGUGAAAACGUGGGGAAACCACGCUCCUAUACAUUACUGUGGAUCUGUCAGGGCAUUGUGUAAGGAACAAUUUAGUCACAUGUAUCUAAUAUUUAAAGAAAAAGGGACAGAACAUGAGAGAGAGACUCCUAACUCUGGGAAACGAAUUAGGGGGGUGGAAGGGGAGGAGGGCGGGGGGGGGGGUGACUGGGGGACGGGCACUGAGGGGGGCACUUGAUGGGAUGAGCACUGGGUGUUAUUCUAUAUGUUGACAAAUUGAACACCAAUAAAAAAUAAAUUUAUAUUAAAAAAAGAAAGAAAAAAAAAAAGAAAAAGGGCUGAGGGGACACAUCCUUUACCAUAGAAAUUCUAAGAAUUUUUCCUAUAAGAUAUACCCACGCACGCACACAGUAAUAUCCUCCAGGAUCCUGUAGCAUUAUUCAUAAUAGCAAGCAACUGGAACAAAGGACCAUAUGAGCAAACUGCUGUAUAAAACAAAUUUCAGCGGUUUGGCCCGGUGAAGGAGGCACACGCCACCGCCGCAGGGCAGCGCAGCCGCAGGGAAGCGGGCAGGCAGCUCCCGCCGGGCACAGCCACGGGGACUGAGUGGAGGACACCUGGGAAGACCCAGUCCCGUGACCCUCCCGUAAGCUGGGGCCUGCGUGGACGGCUGACCCAAGUCAGGACCCGGCCACCUCGGCAACUCCUGUGAGUCAGGAAAAUGGGGGUCGAGAACAGGGGAUUCGCCGCGCACCCAUCCUGCUGUAAUUGCAUUUUCUAUCACGUACCAGCUUGUGGGGAGUGGGGGUGCUCCAGGUGUGCAAGGACCCCAGGGAAGUUCACGGCUGCUCAAGGCAGGUGGUGAGGUCAUGGGGGUAAGCACAGCACGGUCUGCCGCGCAGAGGGACCCCUGGAGCUGGGACAGGAGCGGAACGCAGCCGGCGGGGCCGCACUGCGGCACUGAAGGCCACGGCGGCCAAGACCUCAGGCCCAGCUGACCAGCAGCCGCCCCUGAAACUAAACCACGCGACCCAGCAGCGCGAAAACCACGGCCGCGCCUGCGCACCGGGGCUCCCCAGGCCCCGCCCACACGCCGCGCCUGCGCACCGGGGCUCCCCAGGCCCCGCCCAUACGCCGCGCCUGCGCACCGGGGCUCCCCAGGCCCCGCCCAUACGCCGCGCCAGCGCGGGCCCCAACGCCCGGCUCCGCCCUCCCCGGGACGCGCCGUGCACGUGGGCGGGGCCCAGGCUCCAGGCUCCGCCCGCGAGCGGCCUGUGGGCGGAGGCCGUGGUCGCGCCGGCCGGGAGCUGGAGCUGCGAAGGUUCCUCGGUCGCCCUCCCGCUCCCGGGAAACGGAACUCCCUCCGCGGAGGGGCGGAGGGGACUGCAGGAGGGGGACAGCCAUGUAAAGAGAUCUGCAAGAGCUUCCCCGCCCACUCUGUCUUGUGAAAAGGAAACAACUGGUGGUGUUAACUGGGCUGACUCAUGUAUGUAUCCUUUUUUUUUUCUCAGAGAAAGAGAUAAAAGCCCAUUUAAACCUACCAGGAGAGUAAGUAGUGGUUUGUUAAUGUUUAAUUUUGGAUAGGUUUUCAGCAUAUGUGGUGGUCAUUUUGCAUGUAUGGCUCUUUUGUGUACUUAACUGAAAACCUUGAAGAAACUGGCCAACAGAUUAGCCACUGAUCCAAAUCAGAUAGAGCUUAUGUUCCAAGAGCCACCUACCUUCCCCAGCUCCUAGAAAGCUAGCUGGGAGCAAGGCUUACCAAGCCAAACCUCUGUUGACCUUUGUGCCCCAGCCUACUCCCUAUUCUCUGCCUGAUAGCCUUGUUCUAGACUCUCUCUCUUUAAAGGACAAAAAUCAAACUGAAUAACAAUUCAGGUCCUGAGUGGACCUCUAGGGAGGACCUGAUCGACAUAUUUACACUGUGGUGUUAGUGGUGCCCAUGGAAAUGCGAUUUGCCCCUUCGUAAAUUAUCUUAUAGUCUUAGUAUUACUUAGUAUUACCUUAAUUCAGUGAAGUGAAACUGGCCUUUAGGUUUGGGCCUCCAGGUCAUGGAGCCAGGUUGUUCCUGGCUCUGUGCUCCCUAAAUGUUAUUUUCUGUUUGGACUGUUUAUGUUAUGCUGAGCUUGUUGGUGUAUAACUGUAACGAUUAUAGGCAUGUAACUUCAUGUAUUUUUUUGGUUGUCUGAAGUAGUCUUAACAUUAAUAGGGAAAGUGAAGUGAUGGAGCACAUUUGAUGUGGAGACAGAAGCCAGAAAGUCUUGUCUGUACCUUACCACAUGCCAGCUGUGUGAUUACAGACAAGUCUGUUUUCAAAUAUUUCUGGGCCUUGGCGCUGUUGUAUGAUAAUAAGUUGUUGCCUGUUGUGUGGUAUAAGUGCCAGCCUUGAGAGCCUCUGCUAACAGGAUAUAGCUUAUGUAAGGGAUAAUUUUUUUAGUUUAAUAAAAAGCAACUUUUGCCUCA